GCAAGCUAGCAAUGCUCAGUUGGUUAGAGUGUGGUGCUGAUAACACCAAGGUUGCAGGUUCGAUCCCCGUAUGGGAUAGCUGCA
This is a non-coding RNA of Podarcis lilfordi (Lilford's wall lizard), 84 nucleotides long. Lineage: Eukaryota; Metazoa; Chordata; Lepidosauria; Squamata; Lacertidae. The record is from the annotation of a GenBank genome assembly.